GAUGAACGCUGGCGGCGUGCCUAAUACAUGCAAGUCGAGCGAACAGACGAGGAGCUCGUUCCUCUGACGUUAGCGGCGGACGGGUGAGUAACACGUGGAUAACCUACCUAUAAGACGGGGAUAACUUCGUGAAACCGGAGCUACUACCGGAUAACAUGUUGAACCGCAGGGAUCAACAGUGAAAGACGGUCUUGCUGUCACUUAUAGAUGGAUCCGCGCCGCAUUAGCUAGUUGGUAAGGUAACGGCCUACCAAGGCAACGAUGCGUAGCCGACCUGAGAGGGUGAUCGGCCACACUGGAACUGAGACACGGUCCAGACUCCUACGGGAGGCAGCAGUAGGGAAUCUUGCACAAUGGGCGAAAGCCUGACGGAGCAACGCCGCGUGAGUGAAGAAGGUCUUCGGAUCGUAAAGCUCUGUUAUUAGGGAAGAACAAAUGUGUAAUUAACUAUGCAUGUCUUGACGGUACCUAAAGAGAAAGCCACGGCUAACUACGUG
This 497-nucleotide ribosomal RNA is filed under the name uncultured bacterium. Its description in RNAcentral is "partial 16S ribosomal RNA". It matches the Rfam family "Bacterial small subunit ribosomal RNA", at positions 28 to 507 of the family's 1533-position model. The record is from RNAcentral.